GAUUAGUUCUAUUGGUGAUGGUUCAAUUCAAUUGGAGUUGGCUGUAUAAAUCCUGUUUAUUCAUUUCAUUCUGUUCAAAUCUUGUUGAUUAGAAAAUUUACAUUCUUUUAUGCGCUAAAUGAGUUUUGGAUACAGUUGAAAGUUAUUGUCCACAUUAGCACUUUGAUUUGGGAUUUCUUUGAUAAUUUUAAUGAUAAUGGCGUACAGUAUGAUGAAAAGUAAACAAUAUGAUAGCCCUUAACUGAUUCAUGAUUGAUUGACCAGAAGGUGACACCUACGAGAAAAGUUUUCCAUUAAUGCCCUUAUCUGAUUAACUCUCUUAGUUUUGUUUUUUGGUACCUCUGAUGAAUGUUUAGACAUUGUCUGUCAGAAUGCUACAUGAAGUGAGUUUUGUAUAUUUUAUUACUUAAUCAUGUAUAAACACAGUUGUUCUAUACAUAUAACUCAAGAAAUGUACUUAGAUUAAAUUUAUCAG
RNAcentral lists this unclassified non-coding RNA (475 nucleotides) under Hevea brasiliensis (rubber tree). Lineage: Eukaryota; Viridiplantae; Streptophyta; Magnoliopsida; Malpighiales; Euphorbiaceae. The record is from RNAcentral.